RNAcentral lists this ribosomal RNA (422 nucleotides) under uncultured prokaryote. RNAcentral describes it as "bacterial SSU rRNA". It matches the Rfam family "Bacterial small subunit ribosomal RNA", at positions 355 to 774 of the family's 1533-position model. The record is from RNAcentral.
UGAGGAAUAUUGGUCAAUGGGCGCAAGCCUGAACCAGCCAUCCCGCGUGAAGGAAGAAUGCGCUAUGCGUUGUAAACUUCUUUUCCGGAGGAAUAAAAUCUUGUACGUGUACAGGACUGAAGGUACUCCGGGAAUAAGCAUCGGCUAACUCCGUGCCAGCAGCCGCGGUAAUACGGAGGAUGCGAGCGUUAUCCGGAUUUAUUGGGUUUAAAGGGUGCGUAGGCGGAUUAAUAAGUCAGUGGUGAAAACCUUCAGCUUAACUGGAGACUUGCCAUUGAUACUGUUAGUCUUGAGUGUGGUUAAGGUAGGCGGAAUGUGUAAUGUAGCGGUGAAAUGCUUAGAUAUUACACAGAACACCGAUCGCGAAGGCAGCUCACUAAAUUGUAACUGACGCUCAUGCACGAAAGCGUGGGGAUCAAACA